RNAcentral lists this ribosomal RNA (255 nucleotides) under uncultured bacterium. RNAcentral's name for it is "partial 16S ribosomal RNA". It matches the Rfam family "Bacterial small subunit ribosomal RNA", at positions 524 to 776 of the family's 1533-position model. The record is from RNAcentral.
UACGGGGGGGGCAAGCGUUGUUCGGAAUUACUGGGCGUAAAGGGCUCGUAGGUGGCCAACUAAGUCAGACGUGAAAUCCCUCGGCUUAACCGGGGAACUGCGUCUGAUACUGGAUGGCUUGAGUUCGGGAGAGGGAUGCGGAAUUCCAGGUGUAGCGGUGGAAUGCGUAGAGAUCCGGAAGAACACCGGUGGCGAAGGCGGCCUGCUGGGCAGUUUAGCUGACACUGAGGCGCGACAGCGUGGGGAGCAAACAGG